UACCCUCUGGGUCUGACCACAGAGCCAAUUUCUCAGCCAGCGGAUCGUGGUGGACCCAAGGCCACAAUUGGUCAAUUUCACCAAGAGGCGAUCAUGGGAAAGCAGAUUGAAG
Gavialis gangeticus (Gharial) is the source of this 112-nucleotide long non-coding RNA. RefSeq lists it as uncharacterized. The transcript has 3 exons. NCBI's taxonomy places the organism in Eukaryota, Metazoa, Chordata, Crocodylia, Gavialidae. The record is from RefSeq and is a predicted model, not a curated record.